Non-coding RNA from Glycine soja, 120 nucleotides. Lineage: Eukaryota; Viridiplantae; Streptophyta; Magnoliopsida; Fabales; Fabaceae. The record is from Rfam.
UUCUUAUUGAAUGAUGACUGUCACGUGUCAUGUUCUAAUUGGACGUCAACUUCAUGAAAGAUAAAAUGUAUUGUUGUUUUCAUUGACCAAUCAAAACAUGAAACGUGGCAGUCAACAUCA